ACGCUGGCGGCGUGCCUAAUACAUGCAAGUAGAACGCUGAAGGAAGGAGCUUGCUCUUUCCGGAUGAGUAGCGAACGGGUGAGUAACGCGUAGGUAACCUGCCUGGUAGCGGGGGAUAACUAUUGGAAACGAUAGCUAAUACCGCAUAACAGUAGAUAUCGCAUGAUAGCUGCUUGAAAGGUGCAAUUGCACCACUACCAGAUGGACCUGCGUUGUAUUAGCUAGUUGGUGAGGUAACGGCUCACCAAGGCAACGAUACAUAGCCGACCUGAGAGGGUGAUCGGCCACACUGGGACUGAGACACGGCCCAGACUCCUACGGGAGGCAGCAGUAGGGAAUCUUCGGCAAUGGACGGAAGUCUGACCGAGCAACGCCGCGUGAGUGAAGAAGGUUUUCGGAUCGUAAAGCUCUGUUGUAAGAGAAGAACGAGUGUGAGAGUGGAAAGUUCACACUGUGACGGUAUCUUACCAGAAAGGGACGGCUAACUACGUGCCAGCAGCCGCGGUAAUACGUAGGUCCCGAGCGUUGUCCGGAUUUAUUGGGCGUAAAGCGAGCGCAGGCGGUUAGAUAAGUCUGAAGUUAAAGGCUGUGGCUUAACCAUAGUACGCUUUGGAAACUGUUUAACUUGAGUGCAAGAGGGGAGAGUGGAAUUCCAUGUGUAGCGGUGAAAUGCGUAGAUAUAUGGAGGAACACCGGUGGCGAAAGCGGCUCUCUGGCUUGUAACUGACGCUGAGGCUCGAAAGCGUGGGGAGCAAACAGGAAUAGAUACCCUGGUAGUCCACGCCGUAAACGAUGAGUGCUAGGUGUUAGACCCUUUCCGGGGUUUAGUGCCGUAGCUAACGCAUUAAGCACUCCGCCUGGGGAGUACGACCGCAAGGUUGAAACUCAAAGGAAUUGACGGGGGCCCGCACA
RNAcentral lists this ribosomal RNA (912 nucleotides) under uncultured bacterium. RNAcentral's name for it is "bacterial SSU rRNA". It matches the Rfam family "Bacterial small subunit ribosomal RNA", at positions 33 to 927 of the family's 1533-position model. The record is from RNAcentral.